UGAAUACGAGACGCUAAGGCGUCGAAGUAGUGUAUGUCAUACUUCCAAGAAAAGCUUGCACUGUCAUAGAUAAAAAACGCCUGUACCAUAACCGACACAGGUGGGUAGGUAGAGUAUACUAAGGGGCGCGAGAUAACUCUCUCUAAGGAACUCGGCAAAAUAACUCCGUAACUUCGGGAGAAGGAGUGCCUUAUUCUUAAGGUUGCAAUAACAAGAUCCAAGCAACUGUUUAUCAAAAACACAGGUCUCCGCUAAGUCGUAAGACGAUGUAUGGGGGCUGACGCCUGCCCAGUGCCAGAAGGUUAAAGAAGCUGGUUAGCAUUUGCGAAGCUAGUAACUGAAGCCCUGGUGAACGGCGGCCGUAACAAUAACGGUCCUAAGGUAGCGAAAUUCCUUGUCGGGUAAGUUCCGACCCGCACGAAAGGCGUAAUGAUUUGGAUACUGUCUCGGAGAGGGGCUCGGUGAAAUAGACUUGUCUGUGAAGAUGCGGACUACCUGCACCAGGACAGAAAGACCCUAUGAAGCUUUACUGUAACUUGAAAUUGAAAUUGGACUUUAUUCGCGCAGUAUAGGUGGGAGGCGUUGAUUAUAAUCUUGCGGGAUUAUUGGAGCCAUUAGUGAGAUACCACUCUUGUAAUGUUAGAUUUCUAACUUUGAAUCAUUAUCUGGUCAAAGAACAGUUUCAGGCGGGCAGUUUGACUGGGGCGGUCGCCUCCUAAACGGUAACGGAGGCGUACAAAGGUUUCCUCUGAACGGUUAGAAAUCGUAUCUAGAGUGUAAAGGCAUAAGGAAGCUUGACUGUGAGACCUACAAGUCGAGCAGGGACGAAAGUCGGUCUUAGUGAUCUGACGGUACUGAGUGGAAAGGCCGUCACUCAACGGAUAAAAGUUACUCUAAGGAUAACAGGCUGAUCUCCCCCAAGAGUUCACAUCGACGGGGAGGUUUGGCACCUCGAUGUCGGCUCAUCGCAUCCUGGGGCGGUAGUACGUCCCAAGGGUUGGGCUGUUCGCCCAUGAAAGCGGUACGCGAGCUGGGUUCAGAACGUCGUGAGACAGUUCGGUCCGUAUCCGGUGUAGGCGUUAGAAUAUUGAGAGGAGCCUUCUUUAGUACGAGAGGACCGAGAAGGACAUACCUCUGGUGUACCAGUUAUCGUGCCAACGGUAAACGCUGGGUAGCUAUGUAUGGAGUGGAUAACCGCUGAAAGCAUCUAAGUGGGAAGCCCACCUCAAGAUAAGUAUUCU
RNAcentral lists this ribosomal RNA (1241 nucleotides) under metagenome. RNAcentral describes it as "bacterial LSU rRNA". It matches the Rfam family "Bacterial large subunit ribosomal RNA", at positions 1564 to 2814 of the family's 2925-position model. The record is from RNAcentral.